UAGGGAAUCUUCCACAAUGGACGCAAGUCUGAUGGAGCAACGCCGCGUGAGUGAAGAAGGUUUUCGGAUCGUAAAGCUCUGUUGUUGGUGAAGAAGGAAAGAGGCAGUAACUGGUCUUUAUUUGACGGUAAUCAACCAGAAAGUCACGGCUAACUACGUGCCAGCAGCCGCGGUAAUACGUAGGUGGCAAGCGUUGUCCGGAUUUAUUGGGCGUAAAGCGAGCGCAGGCGGAAUGAUAAGUCUGAUGUGAAAGCCCACGGCUCAACCGUGGAACUGCAUCGGAAACUGUCAUUCUUGAGUGCAGAAGAGGAGAGUGGAAUUCCAUGUGUAGCGGUGGAAUGCGUAGAUAUAUGGAAGAACACCAGUGGCGAAGGCGGCUCUCUGGUCUGCAACUGACGCUGAGGCUCGAAAGCAUGGGUAGCGAACAGG
This 429-nucleotide ribosomal RNA is filed under the name bacterium. RNAcentral describes it as "partial 16S ribosomal RNA". It matches the Rfam family "Bacterial small subunit ribosomal RNA", at positions 355 to 776 of the family's 1533-position model. The record is from RNAcentral.